UGUCUUUAUGGCAAAUGUGAGAUGCAGUGUAUGGAAUGUCAAAUUUCUAGUAUGAGAAAUUAACGAUUUAAGUCCUUCUUAAAUGAGGCCAUUUACCCAAAGAGGGUGCCAGGCCCGUAUAACGUUAAUGAUUACUAGAUGACAUUUCCAAAGAGUCGUGUUGCUUGAUAGUGCAGCACUAAGUGGGUGGUAAACUCCAUCUAAAACUAAAUAUAACCAUGAGACCGAUAGUAAACAAGUACCGUGAGGGAAAGUUGAAAAGAACUCUGAAUAGAGAGUUAAAUAGUACGUGAAACUGCUUAGAGGUUAAGCCCGAUGAACCUGAAUAUCCUUUAUGGAAAAUUCAUCAUUAUGAUUUUAAUAUUAAUAAUAUUAUAAUAAUGGUGUGCAUUUUUUCCAUAUAUGGACAUUGUAAUCUAUUAACCACAUUAUUUAUCAUAAGAUCAUUGCUUUAGUUUAUUCAAAUUAUUUUGCUUGCAAUUUAACAUAGAAUAAAUGCUUUUGAUUUGAUAAAGUGUUGAUAGAUUUAUUAUAUAUAGUGCUUGAAUAUUUUAUUAUAUUCUAUAAUGGCAUAUUGAUCAUUGAUCUUUGUGUUUUAUUAUAUGCACUUAUAUGAUUAACAAUGCGAAAGAUUCAGGAUACCUUCGGGACCCGUCUUGAAACACGGACCAAGGAGUCUAACAUAUUUGCAAGUUAUUGGGAAUUAAAAACCUAAUAGCGAAAUUAACAUAACUUAUAUAAUGGGAUUAGUUUUUAGUACUAUUUAUAGUCUAUUAAUUCAAUCCCGGGGCGUUCUAUACAGUUAUGUAUAAUAAUAUUUAUAUUAUAUAUACCUCUAACUAGAGCGUACCUUGAGCAUAUAUGCUGUGACCCGAAAGAUGGUGAACUAUACUUGAUCAGGUUGAAGUCAGGGGAAACCCUGAUGGAAGACCGAAACAGUUCUGACGUGCAAA
This 953-nucleotide ribosomal RNA is filed under the name Botanophila fugax. RNAcentral's name for it is "eukaryotic LSU rRNA". It matches the Rfam family "Eukaryotic large subunit ribosomal RNA", at positions 122 to 897 of the family's 3401-position model. The record is from RNAcentral. Lineage: Eukaryota; Metazoa; Arthropoda; Insecta; Diptera; Anthomyiidae.